RNAcentral lists this ribosomal RNA (245 nucleotides) under uncultured Bacillaceae bacterium. RNAcentral describes it as "partial 16S ribosomal RNA". It matches the Rfam family "Bacterial small subunit ribosomal RNA", at positions 524 to 768 of the family's 1533-position model. The record is from RNAcentral. Lineage: Bacteria; Bacillati; Bacillota; Bacilli; Caryophanales; Bacillaceae.
UACGUAGGGGGCAAGCGUUGUCCGGAAUUAUUGGGCGUAAAGCGCGCGCAGGCGGUUCUUUAAGUCUGAUGUGAAAUCUUGCGGCUCAACCGCAAGCGGUCAUUGGAAACUGGGGAACUUGAGUACAGAAGAGGAGAGUGGAAUUCCACGUGUAGCGGUGAAAUGCGUAGAUAUGUGGAGGAACACCAGUGGCGAAGGCGACUCUCUGGUCUGUAACUGACGCUGAGGUGCGAAAGCGUGGGGAG